GCGUUCCUACUACUGGUUGUCAUAGUAACAUGGGUGGCGCAACUAACAUUCCACUUUUGACAACAAACCAGUUUUUUUGCUGCUAAAAUUAAACAUUCUGAUCGGAGAGCGAUCUUAUAUAAAAUUCACCAGCGUAUAUAUGCCUCAUUUCCUACGAGACGAAGGAGAAGCGGAGUGUGCUUAGCCAUCUACCUGUGGCAAAAGCACAGUGGUGGUGCCCAGGAGCCGGACCGUAGUUCUCUGUGUUUCCCUUACCAAGAUACACUGGGAUUUUGCUCGAUUGUAACAAAAAAUGAGUAUUUCAUUAUUUUAUUUAUUUAUUUAUUGCUUUAAACCCACUGAUAUCCUAAAAUAAGCUAAGCUAAGUUAAUUGGCUACUGCCACAAUGGCACUGCUUCUGCUAGUGAGCAAGGGGUGGCCACAGAUGACAUGCACUCUACUGUCUUCAUUCCCAUUGGUAGUUGCUGCACUAAGUCGCUCCAAAUUUGCAUGAAGUUAAACUUUUCUCAACUUUCCAAGUCGCUGGACACGCCCACAUCCGGUCGCCAAUGGUCACCGUCGCUCAUGUCAACGGAAUUCGCCAACUCUCAUUGAAAAUGAACGAUCUCCGGUCGCAUUGUCGCUCGCAGGCCACGCCUCCUUCAUUGGAACUGACUGGCACACAACACCAUCAUUGAGAUUAAUGGGCACAGAGGCCACAUCUCCUUGUGCAGGAUUGACAGGCAUAGAAGCAGCAUUUCCUUCAUUGGGACUGAUGAGCACACAGGUCAAGCCUCCAUCAAUGAGACUGACAUGCACAGAGGCUACACCGUCUUUACAAGGACCGACGGGCACUGAGGCCACACCCCAUUCACUGGGACUGACAGACACAGAAGCCUCACCUCCUCCUUUAUUGGGACUGAUAAACACUGAGGCCACACCUCCUCCUUCAAUGGGACUGACAAACUCUGAGGGUGCAUCCAAAAUCAUCAGGGUCAUCCAGGUAUUUCUCGCCUACUGCUUAAUGAAUACUGAGAAUUCGGACAUACUGCUCCUUUGGCGUACUGCCUUUCUCCUACUGUAUAGUAGGGUAGUUGACACAGCCUCCUCCUUCACUGAGACUGACAGACAAACUAGUCACACCUUCUUCACCUUGACUGAGAGACAUCAAGCCCACGCCUCCUCCUGACUGACUGAUGGACGGCGAGGCCGUGCCUCCUUAUUCCAGCCUUAUUCCAUGUCUGACCAGUACUGACAUACUCCUAUCUUUCUCCGACUCUCUGCAUUGGUGAAAUACAUGUUUAGAUGGUCACUAAAGUUCUGCUUGUACUGAUUUUCCCUCUAUCCAAGAUGCACCAAACAGAUGUAACGUUUUCUCCCUCCAAGAAAAUAUUUUAUUCAUGAUUUAUAUGAAAGAUAAAUCUUCAGAAAGUCUUAGAGCUGAUGGGCAUACACAAUUUAACAUCUGUCUUCCUCAGAAUAAUUAAUAGCACAGAAGAGCACUGGGGACCCAGACGUCAGGACUUUUCCUCCCCUUCCCUUUCUGUAAUUAUUGUCAAAAACAAAGCAAGCAUGGAUUUGCAUCUAGCAGUUGUGUCACUGUGUUCUAGGCUUGGGAAAUAAAGGAAGUAAAGGAGCUGAUUAAUCCUGGAGCUAUACAGAAGUCCUGUUGUAAAUAAUAUAAAGGCUGUAGAUGUGUUCAGUUUUCACAGCGUCAUGCGGUUUCUUAUGCUGCCACGCCCUUUAUAUCAUGAGGUGGCACCACAUGUUUUAAUAUUUUCUCAGCCUAUGUUUGGCAGGCCCCAGAGGUCAUCUAAUAUAACCUGACCUCACACGUAACAUUUUGAAAUAGUAAGCUAAUCCUUUACUUUAGGAUUACUGUAAUGUCUGCCUGAGGCGUAGCGCGCAGAGACAGAGGGACACCGCAGAUUGACUGCAGGACUGGACACUAUUGGAUAAAUGACUGUGUUGCUAUCGCCCUGAGUGACAUCCUGUUGCCCAAAAUCCAAAGUGCUAUAUUUGUUGCAGCUAUUAUGAAAUAAAAACCCUCUGAAAAAGGCCACUAUUCGGUUUGAAUUGAUUCCCUGAAAACUCCUGCGGUGAAUGGGCUUUCAUUUUGAUGGCAUUACUAUGGAGAGAAUGUGUUGUGUCAGUUUCACCUCUCCAUUACUUUGUCCAUUAGGGUGAAACCGCCUGAUUUUAUUUCUCGCACUCUAUUUUCUGUGAUAAAAUGGAAAUUCAAACGCUUAUUAAGUCUGAGUGACAUCUAUGUCUGGGAGCUGGAAGGAAAGUAAGUCAACUAUAUCUCGUUUCAGUUCAUUUUUGCUCAAUUUCCCUCUCGUGAUCAAAUAUUUCACUUUCCAGUAGGGUCCUAAUGGGAGUGUCAGUUUCGGGAGGCCCUAUCUCGCUGCUCUGCUGCCAUUAGCGGCUCUCUUCGACUGUUUCAAAUUUCUACCUGUCAACAGUAAAAGCAACGGGUCUCCGUUUUAACUCGUUUCUCUCCCGAUCUGCGUUCAACUAAUGUCGUCGGUUCAACUGCCACUUUUAAACCACAGGAGAAUAUUGUACAGAAGCUGAAAGAUUAAACCUGCUUGUGUUGGGUGUUAACUUUU
Long non-coding RNA from Ictalurus furcatus (blue catfish), 2591 nucleotides. RefSeq lists it as uncharacterized. NCBI's taxonomy places the organism in Eukaryota, Metazoa, Chordata, Actinopteri, Siluriformes, Ictaluridae. The transcript is spliced from 4 exons. The record is from RefSeq and is a predicted model, not a curated record.